UCUUUCAUUUCCCCAGUGUCCUGGAGAGGAGACUUACUGCUAUCAUCCCCAUUUUACAGAAGCUGAAGAAAUCCGGGAAGUCUGGAGCACACAUCCCCUCACCAUCAGGGCAGAAGGCCUACUGGUUGCCAUGGAGACGCAGUGUGCAGCUGGAUGGUGAGUGUGUGAGAGGAGCUGUGUGUGCUCUGCAGCACGGGGUGGGGUGGGGGUGCCGGUUGCUGCGUGUGAAACGUACCCAUGUGCAAGAAAUCUUUCUUCGAGGUUUCUUUCCCUGAAGGGAGACCCAGACCAAGGGGGAGACACCCAAAAGGCCCCAAUGAUCCUAAAACCCUUGGUGAUAUUCAUCAGGGACACAUCCUCCCCCGAAGCCCCUGCAGGUCAGAUACUAAAUUCUGUUCAGUCCAGACUCUGGGCCGGCAGAUUCUGGAGGGGCCCCAACCUGCCCCUCCUGUCUGAGGAGAGGAUUGGGAACCCUGGGAAAGGAGCAGGAGUGGGCAGAGGACUUUCCUGUACAGAACAGCUGGAGUACAGAUUAAGCUGUGCAGAUGGACCUACUGAUGAGGCCAGCAACCCCCCAACACCACUCCAGGGGCUGCGGGUGGGGAGGAAGUUGGACCAGCAAGCUGGAAAAUCCCCUCCAUUUCUAUACAUCUUACCCUGUAUUUGUCCAGCCGGUUGGGAGAGGUAAGAGACCUAGUUUCCUGCCCUCAGGAAGCUUAGCAUCUUAGAGGCAUCAGGCUAACCCCUUUAUUGUCUCCCACCCCAGGGCCUUGGCAGCUGCCCUUUCCUUCGCCUGGAAUGCUCUGUUCUGAGCUCUACAUCUCCAGGUUUCCUCAGAUAAGCUACUCAGGCCACAGUGAGUAAGGCAGCCCCUUCCUUUCCCCCACCUCCAGUUAUCCUCCUUCAUGUCCUACUGUUUGUUUCCUUCACGGCACUUUAACACAAUCUGUAAUUAUCUCAUUUGUUUGUUUGUUUAUUGUCUGUCUUCUCUACUGGAAUGGAAGUUCCAAGAGACAGUAGGGAUCAUGCCUGUCUAAUUCAGUGCUGUAAUGCCAGCACCUGGCACUGGGCCUACCACAUAGUAGGUGCUAAAUAUGUGUUCAGUAAAAGAAUGGACAAAUUCUUUCACUGAAGUGCCACAAGAAUCCUCGGUGAUGGUGAGCAUUAUUAUUCCCAUUUUACAGAUGAAGAAAUGAAGGCUCAGUCACCUGCCCAAGGUCAUACCACUAGGAAGCAGUACAGCCAGAUUUCUAAUGUAAGUCUCUGAUUCCAGAUGUGAGGGAAGGAGGUAGGGACCAUCUUUCCUAACCUUCAAUGCACCUGGCUCCUGUUCCUGUUUGUCUGUGGGUGUCUCUACUCCCAUCCCAGGCAUCCCCACAGAAACCUGUGCAGAAAAGCGAGAAGGACAGUUAAAACCUGUAAAGAAUGUGAAUUUGGGGCACCCGGGUGACUCAGUUGGUUAAGC
Long non-coding RNA from Lynx canadensis (Canada lynx), 1465 nucleotides. RefSeq lists it as uncharacterized. Lineage: Eukaryota; Metazoa; Chordata; Mammalia; Carnivora; Felidae. The transcript has 3 exons. The record is from RefSeq and is a predicted model, not a curated record.